Molecule: long non-coding RNA, 861 nt
Filed under: Scleropages formosus (Asian bonytongue)
Lineage: Eukaryota; Metazoa; Chordata; Actinopteri; Osteoglossiformes; Osteoglossidae
Description: lncRNA (ENSSFOG00015026552.1)
Source: RNAcentral
CGCAGACGCCGGCAAGACGGCUUUGAUCUUCGUUUCAAAAGGAAUUCCUGUCUGCGCCCAUUGGCAGAAGCCUUUCUAAGUGACUCACCGGCACAUUAGCUCUUGCAACCUGUUUGUUUUUGGUUAGUUAUAAUAUAGCAAUCAGGAGUAGCAUCGAGGCUGACAAUCACCUGCGCCAAAUGCCUUGUUUUCAGUUCCACAAAGGCGCCUCUGUAGGUCCUCGACAGGCACGUCGCUCACCGCUUCCUGUUUGUUGACAUAACUUUGAAGAGCCUGAAAGUCGGACUUCAUAAAGGGAAUUUUUAUUUUGACAGAAAUAUCUUAAAAUUUAUGACCCCAUUUUCUCUCGUCUUUUUUUUUUUUUUUUUUUUUUUUUUUCUCUGCUCCGUGGAAAUAAUUUACAAAAUGUCCUUGAUUUGGAAUGCAUGGGAAUGAUGGAACUGAAAGGCUACAGAAAGCGGACCCUGCGAGACGCGAUCUUGCCAUGUUCCGGCCGCACCGCACGAAUCCUACUGGGCUCAGUUGCCAGGAGACAGGCAGGCUGAGGACGCAGAAAAUGGCCCACAGGUGGAAACAGACGGCGAGGCCUGUCCUCUUGGCCUUCACGGGCGCAACUGCGACAGACGGCCGGCUCAGCAGCCCUGCUCACAGGCAAAAAGAAAAUGAAAUAGAAAUGGAAGGCUGAACUCAAAAUUUUGGUACAAUGCAGAAGAUGAAAUAUGAAACAACAUGAAGGCAAAUGUUGAUGAAUGAAGCAAACGCCCAGUGUUUCCAGUUUCCUUCCAUAAUCUGUUAUCAGAUUGCUGAUAAAGUUAAGAAUUGGGCUAAUAAACGUACAAAAGUUUUUUUUCUCCUUUUUCA